RNAcentral lists this ribosomal RNA (156 nucleotides) under Clusia sp. JA 3748. Its description in RNAcentral is "5.8S ribosomal RNA". It matches the Rfam family "5.8S ribosomal RNA". From Rfam's summary of the family: 5.8S ribosomal RNA (5.8S rRNA) is a component of the large subunit of the eukaryotic ribosome. Lineage: Eukaryota; Viridiplantae; Streptophyta; Magnoliopsida; Malpighiales; Clusiaceae. The record is from RNAcentral.
AAAACGACUCUCGGCAACGGAUAUCUCGGCUCUCGCAUCGAUGAAGAACGUAGCGAAAUGCGAUACUUGGUGUGAAUUGCAGAAUCCCGUGAACCAUCGAGUCUUUGAACGCAAGUUGCGCCCAAAGCCUUCUGGUCGAGGGCACGUCUGCCUGGG